This 696-nucleotide ribosomal RNA is filed under the name uncultured bacterium. RNAcentral describes it as "bacterial SSU rRNA". It matches the Rfam family "Bacterial small subunit ribosomal RNA", at positions 32 to 715 of the family's 1533-position model. The record is from RNAcentral.
AACGCUAGCUACAGGCUUAACACAUGCAAGUCGAGGGGAAACGACAUCGAAAGCUUGCUUUUGAUGGGCGUCGACCGGCGCACGGGUGAGUAACGCGUAUCCAACCUGCCCACCACUUGGGGAUAACCUUGCGAAAGUAAGACUAAUACCCAAUGAUAUCUCUAGAAGACAUCUGAAAGAGAUUAAAGAUUUAUCGGUGAUGGAUGGGGAUGCGUCUGAUUAGCUUGUUGGCGGGGUAACGGCCCACCAAGGCGACGAUCAGUAGGGGUUCUGAGAGGAAGGUCCCCCACAUUGGAACUGAGACACGGUCCAAACUCCUACGGGAGGCAGCAGUGAGGAAUAUUGGUCAAUGGGCGAGAGCCUGAACCAGCCAAGUAGCGUGCAGGAUGACGGCCCUAUGGGUUGUAAACUGCUUUUAUAAGGGAAUAAAGUUAGUCUCGUGAGACUUUUUGCAUGUACCUUAUGAAUAAGGACCGGCUAAUUCCGUGCCAGCAGCCGCGGUAAUACGGAAGGUCCGGGCGUUAUCCGGAUUUAUUGGGUUUAUAGGGAGCGUAGGCCGGAGAUUAAGCGUGUUGUGAAAUGUAGGCGCUCAACGUCUGCACUGCAGCGCGAACUGGUUUCCUUGAGUACGCACAAAGUGGGCGGAAUUCGUGGUGUAGCGGUGAAAUGCUUAGAUAUCACGAAGAACUCCGAUUG